GCUGGAGUAGCUCAGCCGGUAGAGCAGCCGCCUUGUAAGCGGCAGGUCAUCGGUUCGAUUCCGAUCUCCAGCU
Molecule: transfer RNA, 73 nt
Filed under: Candidatus Omnitrophota bacterium
Lineage: Bacteria; Pseudomonadati; Candidatus Omnitrophota
Description: Candidatus Omnitrophica bacterium (sediment metagenome) tRNA-Thr
Rfam family: tRNA
About the family: Transfer RNA (tRNA) molecules are approximately 80 nucleotides in length. Their secondary structure includes four short double-helical elements and three loops (D, anti-codon, and T loops).
Source: RNAcentral